This 371-nucleotide ribosomal RNA is filed under the name uncultured eukaryote. Its description in RNAcentral is "SSU rRNA". It matches the Rfam family "Eukaryotic small subunit ribosomal RNA", at positions 567 to 943 of the family's 1831-position model. The record is from RNAcentral.
CCAGCAGCCGCGGUAAUUCCAGCUCCAAUAGCGUAUAUUAAAGUUGUUGCAGUUAAAAAGCUCGUAGUUGGAUUUGUGGCAUUCGCGUGCGGCCCGGCAUUCGUGCCGGUGUUUGCUAGCGUUGCCAUCCUUGGGUGGAACCUGUGUGGCAUUAGGUUGUCGUGCAGGGGAUGCCCAUCGUUUACUGUGAAAAAAUUAGAGUGUUCAAAGCAGGCUUAUGCCGUUGAAUAUAUUAGCAUGGAAUAAUAAGAUAGGACCUUGGUACUAUUUUGUUGGUUUGCGCACCGAGGUAAUGAUUAAUAGGGACAGUUGGGGGUAUUCGUAUUCCAUUGUCAGAGGUGAAAUUCUUGGAUUUUUGGAAGACGAACUAC